AGUGAACGCUGGCGGUAGGCCUAACACAUGCAAGUCGAACGGCAGCACAGUAAGAGCUUGCUCUUACGGGUGGCGAGUGGCGGACGGGUGAGGAAUACAUCGGAAUCUACUUUUUCGUGGGGGAUAACGUAGGGAAACUUACGAUAAUACCGCAUACGACCUACGGGUGAAAGCAGGGGAUCUUCGGACCUUGCGCGAUUGAAUGAGCCGAUGUCGGAUUAGGUAGUUGGCGGGGUCAAGGCCCACCAAGGCGACGAUCCGUAGCUGGUCUGAGAGGAUGAUCAGCCACACUGGAACGGAGACACGGUCCAGACGCCUACGGGAGGCAGCAGUGGGGAAUAUUGGACAAUGGGCGCAAGCCUGAUCCAGCCAUACCGCGUGGGUGAAGAAGGCCUUCGGGUUGUAAAGCCCUUUUGUUGGGAAAGAAAAGCAGCAGGUUAAUACCCCGCUGUUCUGACGGUACCCAAAGAAUAAGCACCGGCUAACUUCGUG
Molecule: ribosomal RNA, 492 nt
Filed under: uncultured bacterium
Lineage: Bacteria
Description: partial 16S ribosomal RNA
Rfam family: Bacterial small subunit ribosomal RNA
Source: RNAcentral